This 532-nucleotide long non-coding RNA is filed under the name Homo sapiens (human). Its description in RNAcentral is "HSALNT0306698". Lineage: Eukaryota; Metazoa; Chordata; Mammalia; Primates; Hominidae. The record is from RNAcentral.
GACACCUUGAUCUUGGACUUCACAGCCUCCAGAACUAACAUACUCAAGUGUCUCAGCUCAACAUUUGGAGAUGAGCCAUCCUCCUCUUAUUGUAAGAAAAGCUUGAAGGAGUAUUUUCACAGCGAUGGAACUGGAAGUUAAGGCAACUUCUAUCAGCAUCAAGAAAAGAAAAGAAGUAUUCACCACUUACGAAACAACAUCUCUCUUCUCAUCAAUAGUUUGAUUUACAGCAUCUACUGCAGAAGACCUCAAUAAUGCAUAAGAACAUCUGGAAGUACGGUAAUUUCAGCUAUCAGAGAUAAGAAUUGACACAGAACAGGAAUAGAUGCUGUGUAAGUCUCAUUAAAUUACCUGACUGAUGGAAUAAAUACACAGCCUAUAGCUCGGCAGUCCAUAGUAAACUGAACAAGGGUCUUGAUAUCUCAGAGUUCUGCUUAUUUACACAUGCCUUGGACUCUUCUCACAGAUAUGUAAAUUAUUCUGGUUAAAACUAAAUGCUAAAGUCUACACCAUUAGUCUUCCACUUCAUGAU